RNAcentral lists this ribosomal RNA (253 nucleotides) under uncultured bacterium. RNAcentral describes it as "partial 16S ribosomal RNA". It matches the Rfam family "Bacterial small subunit ribosomal RNA", at positions 524 to 776 of the family's 1533-position model. The record is from RNAcentral.
GACGAACCUUGCUAACGUUAUUCGGAAUUACUGGGCUUAAAGGGUGCGUAGGCGGUGCGGAAAGUUGGGUGUGAAAUCCCUCGGCUCAACCGAGGAACUGCGCCCAAAACUACCGUGCUCGAGGGAGAUAGAGGUGAGCGGAACUUAGGGUGGAGCGGUGAAAUGCGUUGAUAUCCUAAGGAACACCGGUGGCGAAAGCGGCUCACUGGAUCUCUUCUGACGCUGAGGCACGAAAGCUAGGGUAGCGAACGGG